This is a long non-coding RNA of Mytilus californianus (California mussel), 2329 nucleotides long. RefSeq lists it as uncharacterized. NCBI's taxonomy places the organism in Eukaryota, Metazoa, Mollusca, Bivalvia, Mytilida, Mytilidae. The transcript has 2 exons. The record is from RefSeq and is a predicted model, not a curated record.
UAACACAGGCAACUUGGAAUCAAGGUUUUUGAUAUUAUUUCACUUCCUACCACAGGCAACUUGGAAUCAAGGUUUUUGUUAUUAUUUCACUUCCUACCACAGGCAACUUGGAAUCAAGGUUUUUGAUAUUAUUUCACUUCCUACCACAGGCAACUUGGAAUCAAGGUUUUUGUUAUUAUUUCAGUUGUAAAAAUUAUUUUCAGUGACUGACAUGAAAAACAUGACAACGUUAUGUAUCAGUUAGCAUUGGAUACUUGUGUAUACGUAUGACGAAGUUAAGCCGCGCUCUGUGUUUGGGGUUCACAGAUACUAUACCUCCCUUUUAGGUAUAGGAACGUCCCCCGUCAUACGUAUCAAGUAUCCAUUCUUACUGGUACGUUAAACUGAGAGUGAGGUGGCUCAGUUUGACUGAUGUGCGAUGGCUCAGUCAAAAUAUUUUUUGCACCAACUGAGAGUGAGGUGGCUCAGUCUGCAUGUGAAGCUCUGUAACAUGCUUUUAAGGGAAAACUGAGAGCGAGGUGGCUCAGUCUGCAUGUGAAGCUCUGUAACAUGCUUUUAAUUGUAAAAAGUAUUUUAUUUGUUUUUAUCCAAAUUUUAAUUGGGGAUAUUUUACUGUUUUUAUCCAAAUUUUAAUUGGGGAUAUUUUAUUGUUUUUACUGGAACAAACUGAGAGUGAGGUGGCUCAGUCUGCAUGUGAAGCUCUGUAACAUGCUUUUAAUUGUAUAUUUUAUUUGUUUUUAUCCAAAUUUUAAUUGGGGAUAUUUUACUGUUUUUAUCCAAAUUUUAAUUGGGGAUAUUUUAUUGUUUUUACUGGAACAAACUGAGAGUGAGGUGGCUCAGCCUGCAUGUGAAGCUCUGUAACAUGCUUUUAAGGGGGAUAAAGUAUUUUAUUUGUUUUUAUCCAAAUUUUAAUUGGGGAUAUUUUACUGUUUUUAUCCAAAUUUUAAUUGGGGAUAUUUUAUUGUUUUUACUGGAACAAACUGAGAGUGAGGUGGCUCAGUCUGCAUGUGAAGCUCUGUAACAUGCUUUCAAGGGGAAAAAAGUAUUUUAUUUGUUUUUAUCCAAAUUUUAAUCGGGAAUAUUUUACUGUUUUUAUCCAAAUUUUAAUUGGGGAUAUUUUUCUGCAUUUAUCCAAAUUGUAAUCGGAUAUUUUGACUGUUUUUAUCUAAAUUUUAAUUAUGGAUAUUUUACUGUUUUUAUCUAAAUUUUAAUUGGAGAUAUUUUACUGUUUUUAUCCUAAUUUAUAAGUUGAGGCAGGUCAUUUUAUGAUUAUUUGGGAAAUGAGGGACUUUUUACAUUAUUUUAUCCAUUUGGGUGUGGGGGACAAAGGGAAUAUUUUACUUUCUAAGUCCAAAUUUUAAUUUAUACAGGAGACCCUUUUUUUAUCUUUUUUUAGUUAAAUGUUGAGCCCCCAAGUCAAAUCAAAGACUUAAAAACUGGUACUCCAAAAGGAAAAGAUAGGUGACCUACUGUGGGCAUUUGUCUUGGUGAACUAGCACCUUAAAGUCCAGCUAACCCACAGGCCGGCUGGCUAGUACAAGCAGACAGGUAUUUUUAAUACCAUUUGGCAUUUUAAACUUUGGCAUUUUUCAUUUGGCUUUUUGUUUUAUGUGUUUUUGAACUAUUUGGAUUUAUACCAUUUGGCAAUUUUCAUUUAUGUUUUUUUCAUUUUUUUCAACAUAUUUUGUAAUCAACACACCAAAAACACUUCAAAAUUAAGAGUGGGAUAUAUACUUUUUGGCCUCCAUAAUGUUUAUCAAUCAAAACAGCAUUCUAUUUUCAAAUUUACAUUACACAAUUUGGCUUUCUGUAACGUUGGCUGUUAAUCUUUUGUACGAAUGCUAUGAUGACCAUUAUGUGUAGAAAAUAAGACUACAUUUCUAAAAGUGGCUCAGGUUCAUAUAUUUAUGUUUGAUAUCAAUCAGUUCUAAAUUUCCUUCACAUUUCUAAAAUUUUAAGAUCUUCCAUAUCUGGUACAUCUUAUAAUAUCGUAUUCAUCUACUAACCCAAUUUUCUCAUAGGGACUUAACACGAAGCAGAAGGGGUAUUAGGUGGUAGGUGGUUAAGGGUGUUAUGAUAGGGUGAAAGGGUGAGAAAGGGAGGGAGAAAAAUAGAAUGAUGGAGAGGGUGAUUGUAUAUGAUUGUAAGUGGAAUAUAGAGAGGGAGUUAAUCUGUGAGAGAAUGUGAUUUCAUAGUAAGGGCAGGGUGUACUGGUCUGGAAGUAUAGUUUCUGUUUUGUCUCGUGUGGUUUCUGUUUUCUACAUCAAUCUGAUAAGUUUAAAUAUUGAGAAAUUGCUGUCGUCUAAAAGUUCACAGGUUAACAGCCUUU